AUUGGUGUUCUUGUUAAACUGCUUUGCUGCGCCAAUCCAUCCCGAACUUGGCUGUUAAACAAUUUAAGGGUUAAAAUACUUAGGGGGUAGCCCCUCGGGAAGAUAGCCUAAUGCCAAU
Molecule: ribosomal RNA, 118 nt
Filed under: Rhexinema sarcinoideum
Lineage: Eukaryota; Viridiplantae; Chlorophyta; Ulvophyceae; Ulotrichales; Helicodictyaceae
Source: RNAcentral